GAUGAACGCUGGCGGCGUGCCUAAUACAUGCAAGUCGAGCGAACAGACGGGGAGCUUGCUCCUCUGACGUUAGCGGCGGACGGGUGAGUAACACGUGGAUAACCUACCUAUAAGACUGGGAUAACUUCGGGAAACCGGAUCUAAUACCGGAUAAUAUAUUGAACCGCAUGGUUCAAUAGUGAAAGACGGUUUUGCUGUCACUUAUAGAUGGAUCCGCGCCGCAUUAGCUAGUUGGUAAGGUAACGGCUUACCAAGGCAACGAUGCGUAGCCGACCUGAGAGGGUGAUCGGCCACACGGGAGCUGAGACAGGGUCCAGACUCCUGCGGUGGGCCGCAGUCGGGAAUCUUACGCAAGGGGGGAGAGCCUGACGGAGCAAAGCGGGGUGAGUGAUGAAGGUCUUCGGAUCGUAAAACUCUGUUAUUAGGGGAGAACAAAUGUGUAAGUAACUGUGCACGUCUUGACGGUACCUAAUCAGAAAGCCACGGCUAACUACGUG
RNAcentral lists this ribosomal RNA (497 nucleotides) under uncultured bacterium. Its description in RNAcentral is "partial 16S ribosomal RNA". It matches the Rfam family "Bacterial small subunit ribosomal RNA", at positions 28 to 507 of the family's 1533-position model. The record is from RNAcentral.